Phacochoerus africanus (Common warthog) is the source of this 1216-nucleotide long non-coding RNA. RefSeq lists it as uncharacterized. The transcript has 4 exons. The record is from RefSeq and is a predicted model, not a curated record. NCBI's taxonomy places the organism in Eukaryota, Metazoa, Chordata, Mammalia, Artiodactyla, Suidae.
AGCCAUGGAGGUCAUAGGUCAUGACAUGGAUAUAGUCCAGGUACCUGAGGGGGGAUAAAGGGUUUAAAAACAUUUCCAAUGGUUAUUUCCCACAUCUAUGCAGGCAAAAGAUACCACAUCCAAAGUCUCCUAAACAAAGACCCUGAAGGGCAAGACAGAGAAGGAAACAUCUGCUUGCAAAAGUGAUGCCUCUAGGAGUUUGAAGAUAAAGUUUUGGAUUUUCUUGGGACAAAGACUGCCAAACUCCUUCCUCACCUGGACCAGGACAGUGAAGAGAUGCUUGUCCUGAGAAGGGCUUCCGCGAGAGCCAGGGUACUCCCAGUCGAAGUCCAGCCCAUCAAACCCAUACUGGCGCAGAAAUUUGAUGACUGAGGUGAUGAAAGUCUGGCGGUUCUCCACAGUGGAAACCAUGGCAGUGAAACUGAGAGAGAUCCAAAGAAAGCAAGGCCAUUGAAAGACUGGUAGAAAGUCACAUCAUCCCCCUCAGUGGCGGUGAUCUCGUUGUCGCGCAUCCCCGCGAAGGCGUAGACCAGACUCACCUGUGAGGAGAACGAGUUUUGCCAUGGUUGCUGUUGGUGCUGGUCUAGCAGAGCCUGGAUUUGCUUUUUACACCUUGUGCAUUCCAGGUAAUCACGCAGGAUAUCUUCCGUGUGCAGAGCAUUUAACCUCGAGGUAAUGCAGCCAAUCGGUAAAUCAACAGAUCGCCUCCUGGGCGAACACUUCCUCUUGGACCUCCAGCCUGCCUCCCUCCCGCCCCUGUCACCCCCAACUCUGCUCAGUAAGGACAGCGUGGUAGAGGCCAUUAUCAUGAAAAGCACCAGUUUAAUAGCUUUUCUGGCACUUCUCAGGGCCGAUAAGCGACUGUGUAAACAUUGCGACUGGGUUGUUAGGCUCUGGACAUUUGUUUCCUGGCAUCAAACACAUCUUUAUUGAAAAGUAAACAAACAAAAAAACGCCUGGAAUGUGUUAUCUGCUCUCAAAACUUUUUUCUUCACGGGAUUGUUUGCAUAUUGUUCGCCGCAGUCAGUGCUUCAGGAACUUUCAUCUUUAGGGGCUACUUUUUGAACAUUCUACCCACACCGGUUUUUCGAAUGACCGUAGUCAUGAUUACACGAUAAUUUUAUCUAAGCGCAUAUGGUUCCUCAAAGGUACUCUGCAAGUCAAUGAGAACUCUCUACUCCAUAGCUCUAAAUUACAUCCAGAAAAUGUUAAAAAA